GAGAGAUCCAUCCCUCUCUAUCCAUCCAUCCCUCUCUAUCCAUCCCUCCCACCCUCUAUCCAUCCAUCCCUCCCUAUCCAUCCAUGAUGGAUGGAUAGGGAUGGCUGGAUGGAUAGGGAUGGGUGGAUAGAGAGGAAUGGGUGGAUAGAGAGGAAUUGGUGGU
This is a non-coding RNA of Pelobates cultripes (western spadefoot toad), 163 nucleotides long. The record is from the annotation of a GenBank genome assembly. NCBI's taxonomy places the organism in Eukaryota, Metazoa, Chordata, Amphibia, Anura, Pelobatidae.